Molecule: ribosomal RNA, 635 nt
Filed under: uncultured bacterium
Lineage: Bacteria
Description: bacterial SSU rRNA
Rfam family: Bacterial small subunit ribosomal RNA
Source: RNAcentral
AGAGUUUGAUCCUGGCUCAGAACGAACGCUGGCGGCAGGCCUAACACAUGCAAGUCGAGCGCCCGCAAGGGAGCGGCAGACGGGUGAGUAACGCGUGGGAACGUGCCCUUUGGUUCGGAAUAUUCCCGGGAAACUGGGAGCAAAACCGGAUAAGCCCUUCGGGGGAAAGUUUACGCCAAAGGAUCGGCCCGCGUUAGAUUAGGUAGUUGGUGGGGUAACGGCCUACCAAGCCUACGAUCUGUAGCUGAUCUGAGAGGAUGAUCAGCCACACUGGGACUGAGACACGGCCCAGACUCCUACGGGAGGCAGCAGUGGGGAAUCUUGGACAAUGGGCGCAAGCCUGAUCCAGCCAUGCCGCGUGGAUGACUGAAGGCCCUAGGGUUGUAAAGUCCUUUCGACGGGGACGAUAAUGACGGUACCCGUAGAAGAAGCCCCGGCUAACUUCGUGCCAGCAGCCGCGGUAAUACGAAGGGGGCUAGCGUUGUUCGGAUUUACUGGGCGUAAAGGGCGCGUAGGCGGACUUUUAAGUCGGGGGUGAAAUCCCGGAGCUCAACUCCGGAACUGCCUUCGAUACUGGAAGUCUGGAGCACGGUAGAGGUGAGUGGAAUUCCGAGUGUAGCGGUGAAAUGCGUAGA